GACGUAGGAGGCGAGCGUUGUCCGGAUUCAUUGGGCGUAAGGAGCGCGCAGGCGGCUUGGUAAGUCGGAUGUGAAAACCCGAGGCUCAACCUCGGGCGUGCAUCCGAAACUGCUCGGCUAGAGGUAGGUAGGGGAGAUCGGAAUUCCUGGUGUAGCGGUGAAAUGCGCAGAUAUCAGGAGGAACACCGGUGGCGAAGGCGGAUCUCUGGGCCUUACCUGACGCUCAGGCGCGAAAGCGUGGGGAGCGAACAGG
RNAcentral lists this ribosomal RNA (253 nucleotides) under uncultured bacterium. RNAcentral's name for it is "partial 16S ribosomal RNA". It matches the Rfam family "Bacterial small subunit ribosomal RNA", at positions 524 to 776 of the family's 1533-position model. The record is from RNAcentral.